UACGAAGGGGGCUAGCGUUGCUCGGAAUCACUGGGCGUAAAGGGUGCGUAGGCGGGGCUUUAAGUCAGGGGUGAAAUCCUGGAGCUCAACUCCAGAACUGCCUUUGAUACUGAGGAUCUUGAGUUCGGGGGAGGUGAGUGGAACUGCGAGUGUAGAGGUGAAAUUCGUAGAUAUUCGCAAGAACACCAGUGGCGAAGGCGGCUCACUGGCCCGAUACUGACGCUGAGGCACGAAAGCGUGGGGAGCAAACAGG
RNAcentral lists this ribosomal RNA (253 nucleotides) under uncultured bacterium. Its description in RNAcentral is "partial 16S ribosomal RNA". It matches the Rfam family "Bacterial small subunit ribosomal RNA", at positions 524 to 776 of the family's 1533-position model. The record is from RNAcentral.